This 552-nucleotide long non-coding RNA is filed under the name Monodelphis domestica (gray short-tailed opossum). Its description in RNAcentral is "lncRNA (ENSMODG00000051484.1)". The record is from RNAcentral. Lineage: Eukaryota; Metazoa; Chordata; Mammalia; Didelphimorphia; Didelphidae.
AGGAAAUAUCCAAGAGUGAAUUCAUAAGGGCUUUACUUAUAAGACAGGGCAAUAAGUUCAGUCCCUAGUCAGUAAACAACACUGAAAAGAGCAGGGGCAGGAGAUGUAUUCAAGGACAGAACCAGGCCAAAUGAAAAACAGAAGAAUCAUAGAAUCAGAGAUUAUAAAGGACAAAGAUGUUCUGAAGAACCUUUGGAUGGAGUUAAAGGCGAUAACAAUAAUAAUCUUUAAAGAAUCAAGAAUAGGUAUCGGUCCCAAGGCAGAAGAUCAGUAAAAACUAGGCAACUGGAGAUCUCCAGCAUGAAAAUCAGAUCUUACAAUGUAACCAAAGGACCCCUGUGUCUUGCCAUCUUCCUUCUACUACAUCCUUAGGACUUCCAGGCUUCUCUGUUUACUUCAACUAAACUUUAUUUUAUCUGUUUGUUUGUUUGUUUUUUUAACUCUAAUUAAAAUGAGAGCUCCUUGACAGUAAAAACUGCUUACCUUUGGUGUAUAGUAGUUACUUAAAUGCUUUUUUCAUUAAGUCAUUCAGUGAUUUUGCAUUUGUUAUUC